CGAAGAUACCAGCUGGCUGCAACUGUUUAUUAAAAACACAGCACUGUGCAAACACGAAAGUGGACGUAUACGGUGUGACGCCUGCCCGGUGCUGGAAGGUUAAUUGAUGGGGUUAGCGUAAGCGAAGCUCCUGAUCGAAGCCCCAGUAAACGGCGGCCGUAACUAUAACGGUCCUAAGGUAGCGAAAUUCCUUGUCGGGUAAGUUCCGACCUGCACGAAUGGCGUAAUGAUGGCCAGGCUGUCUCCACCCGAGACUCAGUGAAAUUGAACUCGCUGUGAAGAUGCAGUGUACCCGCGGCAAGACGGAAAGACCCCGUGAACCUUUACUAUAGCUUGACACUGAACAUUGAGCCUUGAUGUGUAGGAUAGGUGGGAGGCUUUGAAGUGUGGACGCCAGUCUGCAUGGAGCCAACCUUGAAAUACCACCCUUUAACGUUUGAUGUUCUAACCUAGGCCCAUAAACUGGGUCGGGGACCGUGUCUGGUGGGUAGUUUGACUGGGGCGGUCUCCUCCUAAAGAGUAACGGAGGAGCACGAAGGUUGGCUAAGCAUGGUCGGACAUCAUGCGGUUAGUGCAAAGGCAUAAGCCAGCUUGACUGCGAGAGUGACGGCUCGAGCAGGUACGAAAGUAGGUCUUAGUGAUCCGGUGGUUCUGAAUGGAAGGGCCAUCGCUCAACGGAUAAAAGGUACUCCGGGGAUAACAGGCUGAUACCGCCCAAGAGUUCAUAUCGACGGCGGUGUUUGGCACCUCGAUGUCGGCUCAUCACAUCCUGGGGCUGAAGUAGGUCCCAAGGGUAUGGCUGUUCGCCAUUUAAAGUGGUACGCGAGCUGGGUUUAGAACGUCGUGAGACAGUUCGGUCCCUAUCUGCCGUGGGCGUUGGAAGAUUGAGAGGGGUUGCUCCUAGUACGAGAGGACCGGAGUGAACGCACCACUGGUGUUCGGGUUGUCAUGCCAAUGGCAUUGCCCGGUAGCUAAGUGCGGAAGAGAUAACCGCUGAAAGCAUCUAAGCGGGAAACUUGCCUCGAGAUGAGUCUUCCCUGUCGCUUUAAGCGACCUAAAGGAACGUUUAAGACUAAGACGUUGAUAGGCUGGGUGUGUAAGCGUAGCGAUACGUUGAGCUAACCAGUACUAAUGAACCGUGAG
RNAcentral lists this ribosomal RNA (1143 nucleotides) under Proteus mirabilis. Its description in RNAcentral is "partial 23S ribosomal RNA". It matches the Rfam family "Bacterial large subunit ribosomal RNA", at positions 1778 to 2915 of the family's 2925-position model. Lineage: Bacteria; Pseudomonadati; Pseudomonadota; Gammaproteobacteria; Enterobacterales; Morganellaceae. The record is from RNAcentral.